CAGUAGCCACGGUAAUACGUAGGGUGCAAGCGUUAAUCGGAAUUACUGGGCGUAAAGCGUGCGCAGGCGGUUUGUUAAGACAGAUGUGAAAUCCCCGGGCUCAACCUGGGAGCUGCAUUUGUGACUGGCAAGCUAGAGUCUGGCAGAGGGGGGUGGAAUUCCGCGUGUAGCAGUGAAAUGCGUAGAUAUGCGGAGGAACACCGAUGGCGAAGGCAGCCCCCUGGGCCAACACUGACGCUCAUGCACGAAAGCGUGGGGAGCAAACAGGAUUAGAUACCCGAGUAGUCCCUGUCUCUUAUAC
RNAcentral lists this ribosomal RNA (301 nucleotides) under uncultured bacterium. RNAcentral's name for it is "partial 16S ribosomal RNA". It matches the Rfam family "Bacterial small subunit ribosomal RNA", at positions 509 to 807 of the family's 1533-position model. The record is from RNAcentral.